AUCCCGGGCCUGCUGGUGAGGAGAUUGCGACGGCAGAGCACAAAGACAUCAAAUAUCCCAAAAGGCUAUUUUGCGGUCUAUGCUGGAGAGAGCCAGAAGAAACGAUUUGUUGUUCCAAUAUCAUAUUUGAACCAGCCUUUGUUUCAGGAUUUGCUGAGUCAAGCUGAAGAAGAAUUUGGAUACCAUCAUUCAAUGGGUGGUAUCACAAUUCCAUGCAGUGAAGAUACUUUCAUUGAUCUCACUUCCGACUUCAGUGUGUAAAAUAUAGAAACCAUGGGUUUCCGGCUGCCUAAAAUUUCAAGCCCCAAGAGGAGUCUUAUUCGAUCACUAUCUAAUGGAAACCAGACAGCUUCAAAGACCUUAGAAAUCCCAAAAGGUUAUUUUGCAGUCUAUGUUGGGGAGAGCCAGAAGAAGAGAUUUGUGAUUCCGAUAUCAUACUUGAACCAACCUUCAUUCAUGGAUUUGCUGAGUCAAGCUGAAGAAGAAUAUGGAUAUGAUCAUCCCAUGGGAGGUAUCACAAUCCCCUGCAGUGAAGACACAUUCCUAGAUCUCACUUCAAGCUUUAGUGUGUGACUGAAUAAUGAGAUGAAAGUAUGAUCCAACUUCACAUUCAAAUAGCAUCCAAAUUCCAGACAUGCUGCUGAGUCAAGAUGAAGAAGAAGCGAGAGUCACAAUUGAUUAUCAUCUGAAUCGAAUGAGCGCACUACUGAGGGGAAGCUUCAGUGACUUUGAAGCUGCAAUGGAGACGAACUGAAAGAUACAAGAGCUAUAAGCAGUCAAAUGGCGAUAUUGUAUGGAUUUUGUACAAUAAUUGCUGCAAGAAUCAUGGUUCCAGCUUUGGAAACAAGAGUGAAUUAUGUAUUCAACCUACUUAAAUUAAGGUCUCCCAGGAUAAAAUACUGGGAACAAAUAAUAUAGUCAAAUUCUUAUCAA
Molecule: RNA transcript, 933 nt
Organism: Fragaria vesca subsp. vesca
Lineage: Eukaryota; Viridiplantae; Streptophyta; Magnoliopsida; Rosales; Rosaceae
Exons: 3
Source: RefSeq, a predicted model, not a curated record